Long non-coding RNA from Sinocyclocheilus anshuiensis, 159 nucleotides. RefSeq lists it as uncharacterized. NCBI's taxonomy places the organism in Eukaryota, Metazoa, Chordata, Actinopteri, Cypriniformes, Cyprinidae. The record is from RefSeq and is a predicted model, not a curated record. The transcript has 3 exons.
UGUUGUGGCACAUGUAGACAUGGUGUUACUCACCUAUCGAGAUGAAACAAAGCAACCUCAGCGUCCAAUCGCAGGCCUUCUGCUCCUUGUGUUCUCUUCAGCACUGGAAAGCUGAUCCGAUAUUUACACGGGUCCUACUUCUUGUCUUAUCUUAAGCCU